Molecule: ribosomal RNA, 324 nt
Filed under: uncultured eukaryote
Lineage: Eukaryota
Description: partial 18S ribosomal RNA
Rfam family: Eukaryotic small subunit ribosomal RNA
Source: RNAcentral
CCCUUAGAUGUUCUGGGCCGCACGCGCGCUACACUGAUGCACUCAACGAGUUUCUUCCUGGUCCGAGAGGAAUGGGUAACCUUUUGAAAGUGCACCGUGAUAGGGAUAGACUAUUGCAAUUAUUGGUCUUCAACGAGGAAUUCCUAGUAGACGUAGUUCAUCAGACUGCAUCGAUUACGUCCCUGCCCUUUGUACACACCGCCCGUCGCUCCUACCGAUUGAAUGCUCAGGUGAGCCAUUCGGACUUUCAUCAUGCUGGUUUCCAGUUUUGAUGAAGGAAAGUCUUGCGAACCUUAUCAUUUAGAGGAAGGAGAAGUCGUAACA